GACGAACCGUGCGAACGUUAUUCGGAAUCACUGGGCUUAAAGCGCGUGUAGGCGGCCCGGCGCGUCGGAUGCUGAAAUCCCCGGCUCAACCGGGGAAGGGGCGCCGAUACGGCCGGGCUGGAGGGGGGUAGGGGGCGCUGGAACUCACGGUGGAGCGGUGAAAUGCGUUGAGAUCGUGAGGAACGCCCGCGGCGAAAGCGAGCGCCUGGACCCUUUCUGACGCUGAGACGCGAAAGCCAGGGGAGCGAACGGG
Molecule: ribosomal RNA, 253 nt
Filed under: uncultured bacterium
Lineage: Bacteria
Description: partial 16S ribosomal RNA
Rfam family: Bacterial small subunit ribosomal RNA
Source: RNAcentral